GGCGCUAUCGUCUAGCCUGGUUAGGACGCAGGGUUCUCAUCCCUGUAACCCGGGUUCAAAUCCCGGUGGCGUCA
RNAcentral lists this transfer RNA (74 nucleotides) under Candidatus Wolfebacteria bacterium GWA1_42_9. RNAcentral describes it as "tRNA-Glu". It matches the Rfam family "tRNA". Rfam says of the family: Transfer RNA (tRNA) molecules are approximately 80 nucleotides in length. Their secondary structure includes four short double-helical elements and three loops (D, anti-codon, and T loops). The record is from RNAcentral. Lineage: Bacteria; Candidatus Wolfeibacteriota.